GCGGGCGUGGUGGAAUGGUAGACACACAGGACUUAAAAUCCUGAGGAGGCAUCUCCGUGCGGGUUCGAGUCCCGCCGCCCGCACCA
Molecule: transfer RNA, 86 nt
Filed under: Pelagibacterium flavum
Lineage: Bacteria; Pseudomonadati; Pseudomonadota; Alphaproteobacteria; Hyphomicrobiales; Devosiaceae
Description: Pelagibacterium sp. YIM 151497 tRNA-Leu
Rfam family: tRNA
About the family: Transfer RNA (tRNA) molecules are approximately 80 nucleotides in length. Their secondary structure includes four short double-helical elements and three loops (D, anti-codon, and T loops).
Source: RNAcentral